This 406-nucleotide ribosomal RNA is filed under the name uncultured bacterium. Its description in RNAcentral is "partial 16S ribosomal RNA". It matches the Rfam family "Bacterial small subunit ribosomal RNA", at positions 30 to 526 of the family's 1533-position model. The record is from RNAcentral.
AUUGAACGCUGGCGGCAGGCCUAACACAUGCAAGUCGAGCGAGCUGCGGACGGGUGAGUAAUGUCUGGGAAACUGCUUGAUGGAGGGGGAUAACUACUGGAAACGGUAGCUAAUACCGCAUACCAUCAGAUGUGCCCAGAUGGGAUUAGCUAGUUGGUGGGGUAACGGCUCACCUAGGCGACGAUCCCUAGCUGGUCUGUGCGGAUGACCAGCCACACUGGAACUGAGACACGGUCCAGACUCGUACGUGAGGCAGCAGUGGGGAAUAUUGCAAAAUGGGCGCAAGCCUGAUGCAGCCAUGCCGCUUGUGUGAAGAAGGCCUUCGGGUUGUAAAGCACUUUCAGCGGGGAGGCGUUACCCGCAGAAGAAGCACCGGCUAACUCCGUGCCAGCAGCCGCGGUAAUUC